GACGAACGCUGGCGGCGUGCUUAACACAUGCAAGUCGAACGAAGAGCGACGGAAGCUUGCUUCUAUCAAUCUUAGUGGCGAACGGGUGAGUAACGCGUAAUCAACCUGCCCUUCAGAGGGGGACAACAGUUGGAAACGACUGCUAAUACCGCAUACGAUCUAACCUCGGCAUCGAGGAUAGAUGAAAGGUGGCCUCUACAUGUAAGCUAUCACUGAAGGAGGGGAUUGCGUCUGAUUAGCUAGUUGGAGGGGUAACGGCCCACCAAGGCGAUGAUCAGUAGCCGGUCUGAGAGGAUGAACGGCCACAUUGGGACUGAGACACGGCCCAGACUCCUACGGGAGGCAGCAGUGGGGAAUCUUCCGCAAUGGACGAAAGUCUGACGGAGCAACGCCGCGUGAGGGAUGACGGCCUUCGGGUUGUAAAGCUCGGUUAAUCGGGACGAAAGGCCUUCUUGCGAAUAGUGAGAAGGAUUGACGGUACCGGAAGAGAAAGCCACGGCUAACUACGUG
This 510-nucleotide ribosomal RNA is filed under the name uncultured bacterium. Its description in RNAcentral is "partial 16S ribosomal RNA". It matches the Rfam family "Bacterial small subunit ribosomal RNA", at positions 28 to 507 of the family's 1533-position model. The record is from RNAcentral.